CCUACGGGGUGCAGCAGUGGGGAAUAUUGGACAAUGGGCGAAAGCCUGAUCCAGCCAUGCCGCGUGUGUGAAGAAGGCCUUCGGGUUGUAAAGCACUUUCAGUGGGGAAGAAAGCCUUGGGGCUAAUACCUUCGAGGAAGGACAUCACCCACAGAAGAAGCACCGGCUAACUCCGUGCCAGCAGCCGCGGUAAUACGGAGGGUGCGAGCGUUAAUCGGAAUUACUGGGCGUAAAGCGCGCGUAGGCGGUCUGAUAAGCCGGUUGUGAAAGCCCCGGGCUCAACCUGGGAACGGCAUCCGGAACUGUCAGGCUAGAGUGCAGGAGAGGAAGGUAGAAUUCCCGGUGUAGCGGUGAAAUGCGUAGAGAUCGGGAGGAAUACCAGUGGCGAAGGCGGCCUUCUGGACUGACACUGACGCUGAGGUGCGAAAGCGUGGGUAGCAAACAGGAUUAGAUACCCCAGUAGUC
This 465-nucleotide ribosomal RNA is filed under the name Vreelandella stevensii. RNAcentral's name for it is "partial 16S ribosomal RNA". It matches the Rfam family "Bacterial small subunit ribosomal RNA", at positions 338 to 795 of the family's 1533-position model. Lineage: Bacteria; Pseudomonadati; Pseudomonadota; Gammaproteobacteria; Oceanospirillales; Halomonadaceae. The record is from RNAcentral.